CCUUUAGCUCAAUUGGAUAGAGCAUCUGACUACGGAUCAGAAGGUUGGGGGUUCGACUCCCUCAAGGU
This 68-nucleotide transfer RNA is filed under the name human gut metagenome. It matches the Rfam family "tRNA". Rfam says of the family: Transfer RNA (tRNA) molecules are approximately 80 nucleotides in length. The record is from RNAcentral.